This 2818-nucleotide long non-coding RNA is filed under the name Homo sapiens (human). Its description in RNAcentral is "HSALNT0321687". Lineage: Eukaryota; Metazoa; Chordata; Mammalia; Primates; Hominidae. The record is from RNAcentral.
CAGAAAAAUCAUUCCAGACACUUAAAUCAGACUAUGUUACAUCUGCCAAAGAACUUCCUGACACUUUUGUGAUGUCUAAUAUGUGAUAUAGUCAAAAUAUUUUCUUCUAAAUGUCAGUUGCAACAUAUUUGAAAACAGAAGGUGGCAACAUGUUCAUAUUAUUACUUAAAGAGAUACCAAAUAAACUUUUUUAAAAGCACAAAGAAACUCUUACACAAGAUUAUGAAACCUGAAUCCAUCCUAAAUUCAGCUUUUAUUUUUAAAAAACUACAUGGAUCCCGUUUAUCUGUAAGUACUUGGAAUCUGGGUAUCUCUUAUAAUGAGUUUGCUAGAAUGUGACAAAGCAUUUCAAUGUCUUAUUGACUAAGUUUUGGUCUAGACAUUAUGAAGUCACAUAAACAUAUCCAGCACCUUCAGAUCAAUCUUAACUUACAGAUAACUCAACUAGUCCUUUUAGAGGCUGUGCUUUCUUGAAAGGAAUGAAAUAGAAGCUGUUUUUUAAGCCCCAGUGAGCAUGUGUUUCGUAAUAAGUGGACCCAGCCCAGUACUCUUGCGUAAAGAGAAAUCCUUUCCGUGCUGCAAUGAAUCAUUAAGUCAUGGAGUAUUUAUAAUCUGAGAUGUCUCCCUUUCUUCUAUUUGGAUCUGUUUCUUGGAGCAUUUUCUUUUUAGGAUAUCUGAAGUCAAACUGUUCCUUUAUCUCUCAGCUAAGGAGCCUAGAGCUGUACACCACAGCUCUUUGAUUUUGAUCUUCCCAGUUGUCUGUGCAAAUUUGGGUUUCUGAGAAGAAGCAAUGUCAGUUUAAGAGUUAAAUAACUUCUUUCUGAAACUCUAAUUUAAACUGUAAAUGUUUUUAGAGGUAUUAUUCACAGAACAGCUGUAGGAAAUGCCUUCAUUUUUUAUAUUUGUAUUUUUUUUAAUUUUGGAAGCAGCAUAAUUAUCUUUGCCCCUUUCCUCCUUCCUUAAAAGACAGUUAUGACUCAUGCAGGCACGUCAGCUGAAGGGCGUGAGCUUCUACUUGGAUUCUACUCAAAGGAAUUUACCUUAGAAUUUAUGUGGUAGUGCAAUUUCCGACCAAUGCUCAAAAUACUUACUCCUACCUUUGCUUUCAACUGCAUUUGGCAAAACAAAACUAAACAAAAUGAAAACAAACUAACAGUUAAACAAAAUGCACCUUUCUCUAUACGCAAGUAAUUGGAAAAGCUUCCCUGUAAUACAGUAUUUAUACAACAUUAUAAUAUCGUAUUAAAAAAGCAUGAUGUUAGCAAAUUAGAUCAUUAUUAUGUAGAAAAUGUUAAAUACAUUGUUAAACUGAAUUUGAGGGUACCAAAAGGUCAGAGAGUUUUAAUUUAGGAAGGCCUUGGGAUGGAAGUAGAUUAAAUCACUUUGAAUAACGUUAGCAAUCAAUUGUGAAGCUGAGAAGAGAAUAGUUUCAAUUCAUGCCAGCCUUGUAGACCAAUACAGACAAAUGGCCAGAUAAAUAUUAACAUUUAUCAGCAGCUGAAGUAAAAUAAAUAGACAUGAGUAAAUAUCAUAAAAGCAUGAGCGAAUAAAGCUUUAUGCCUUAAAACAUUCAUUUCCCAUCAGUCUACAUAGGUAUUCAUCAAGUCCACAAUUUAUGUGUCACAAUUAUAGAAUUUUUAAAAUCUUAUUUUAAGAACAUUCAAGAUAAUAGAGAUGGAAUGUUAAAGGAGUUAUUUUAAAAUAGUCUUACUGAGCUAUCUCUGGGCAAUAGUUCAGGAAAAGUAAAAACACUUGUCCUCUACUGAUAGAUGACAGUGAUAUGAGUGACAGAAAUAUUUAUUGCAGGAAACAAUAUUCAGAUAUUUAAAAUAGUGGUAGUGGUGGUGAUGAUAAUAAUUGCUUUUGACUUGAUUUUCAAUUGAGAUUCCACUUUGAAUCCUACCAAUUAGUUACUUACUUUGUAAUUUUUUUUAUUUUAUAAAUUUAAUUAUGUAUUAGUAAAUUAUGUAUUUUAUAAACUUAUUUUCUCUUCAUAACAUGAAGGAAGGAUUCUAAGGCCUUAAACACUGAGUUUGAUGGGUAAAUAUUUAGAUUAUAAGAAUAAUGCUAGAUUUCCAUUGUUGUCUCAAGAUUUUGGCCAUAGUGAGUUCAUUUUCAUCCCGGAACAGAAUCAUACUGAAUGAUUAGCAGAGGGGUAACUGUGCGUAGUGUUUCUGCAGAGUUGAGGAAAAACCUGGAGGACCUUGAGGUUCAUCUUGAGAUGUCCUCUGACAUCUUCCUAAAAGCUGCUCUCCAGGAAGCCAAAGCUUUCCUUUCUGGAUUCAUUAUCAUGCAAUAGCCAGAGCUUCCGUUGCAAAAUCAGUAUGGAUUGUACUGUGAUUUGUACACCAUAAAAAUGUCAAUGCUGUAGUUUUCCUUGUUAUUGUCCUCAUUGUUUUCUUUUGUUUUUUACAUUUAAAGGUUUCUUUUAUAUUGUUAAACAACUAUGUGGGGAUGGUGGUAUUUGAAGAGAUUGAAUUCCCAAAUGACCUGUGUUGGUCGUGCAAAAACCUUAUUCUAAUCAUCUGCUUUUGUCCAUCCUCAAAUAUUGGUUUUACUGGAGAAAUCCGGCUGCUUUCUCUUUUAGGGUAUGAGAUUAUUACAAAAGCAUUGUAAUACAUAGAGAAUUCCCAGGGCAUUUGUGGAAAAGAUUUGCUCCCAUUGAAUGUUGGACAUCAGAGAUACCUGAGUCUUCCCCAGCAAAGGCAACGGUCCCACCAUGACUCAAUAAGCAACUCCACAGCUGCUCCUGCCAAUCACUGUAUUUCGCCAUCAUUCUUCUGGCCCCAUGAGAGAGGUCCACGUGAGCUGAACUGGG